RNAcentral lists this microRNA precursor (83 nucleotides) under Patiria miniata (bat star). Its description in RNAcentral is "mir-242_2 microRNA precursor family". It matches the Rfam family "mir-242_2 microRNA precursor family". Lineage: Eukaryota; Metazoa; Echinodermata; Asteroidea; Valvatida; Asterinidae. The record is from Rfam by way of RNAcentral.
ACUGUAAGGUGUUGCGUAGGCGUUGUGCACAGUGUUGGUUUUUGAACGGGACUGUGCAUCUCACCCGCGCAAAGCAUUGCAGA